UCUAUCAAUCACACUACUGUGGCCACAAAUUCUUAGACUUAGCUUUUUAAAUUUCAUAGGACUACUUUCUAAUAAAGUUGAUAGAUCCCAUCUUGAUGUACACCUACUCCUACAGUGGAUCAACUGUCAUCAAUAUCCACUACAAGGGCUCAUUGAGAAUCAUAUUUAUGUAUCAAUCAAACUCCAGCAGCCUCACUACGAACAGCAAUACCAUCUC
Molecule: long non-coding RNA, 217 nt
Filed under: Elaeis guineensis (African oil palm)
Lineage: Eukaryota; Viridiplantae; Streptophyta; Magnoliopsida; Arecales; Arecaceae
Description: long non-coding RNA (EGUI_LNC077643)
Source: RNAcentral